AUCAUCAGAGUUCUCUUCCGCUGGCAUGGGUGU
This 33-nucleotide small RNA is filed under the name Arabidopsis thaliana (thale cress). RNAcentral's name for it is "ATSL132940". The record is from RNAcentral. Lineage: Eukaryota; Viridiplantae; Streptophyta; Magnoliopsida; Brassicales; Brassicaceae.